This is a non-coding RNA of Microcebus murinus (gray mouse lemur), 1575 nucleotides long. NCBI's taxonomy places the organism in Eukaryota, Metazoa, Chordata, Mammalia, Primates, Cheirogaleidae. The record is from RefSeq and is a predicted model, not a curated record.
GGAACCAAUCGGAGCGAGGUUAGUCCGGCAGGCAGCGGCCGGAGGAGGAGGGGCGGCGGAGCCGGUCUGACGGGCUCGGCCUGGGGUGACCCCGAUGUGACCCCGUGGCUCCUGUCUAGGGUCCCCAUCUUGGAUCUGACACUCAGGCCGGCAGGACAAGAAGGCCAGCAAGGACGAGACGGGUGCGGCUGACGGCAGUGAGUCGCACGGUCAGCCCGGCCUGGAGGAAGACACUACCGGCAAGGCUCGCGCAGCCACUGAGCCACCGGUGAUUCCGGCCAUCUCCAGUCGCCCUCCUCCAGGCCACCACAAGACCGACGGACGGCAGACGAGCAGCAGAAAGCAAAGACGUCCCUCCCCUUCUCGCUUCACCUCGCCCAGUGACUGACCACUCCCCUCCACCCCGAGCGCCCCUGAGAACUGCUUAGGACUGGCCGGCCACUUCGACUUCUACGGCACCCAAACCCUCCCGCGCUGGUGCUGGCUCAGACCCACGACGGACACAGCACUCCCCUCUUCUGGGCACCUUCCCUUUAGCCCCAGCUCUUCUCGCCUUUCUAAGCCCAGGAGCUGCGUCCCCGCGCCUACCCGGCGUCCCCGCAGGGACAAGGUCAUCUGUUUGCAAGGAAACGCUUGGACCCUACAGGUCCCAGCGUGCCACUCUCCGCCGAGCCCUGGUGGAUGCUUGGGCCCCGCGGACCCUCUCUGCAGUUCAAGCGGAGUUUCUGUCAGAACUCUCCUCACCAGGGGCAGCAGCCUUUCUAUCAGUUAGCAAACACCGAGACUAGUACUGUAUUUAAAUACGGUCAAGUAUAGCCCUGGCUGGCUGUCCCCACCCAAAUCCCGGGGUGGGGGUGGGGAAACCCAUGCAUCAGACAUGGGCAAAUGCGGAGCUGGGGGACCAGACAUCAGAGGAGCAGAUCCCUACUUGGGAAGUAGUGCCGAGGGUGCUGCCAGUUACCAGGAAAUGCAGCUUCCCCUUCUGCGAUGAUGACACUUCCCCUCUGCCACUUCCCCUUUCCCACGGGGAACUGACUCAGCUUUCCCUAAAUCAGCGAUUCCUGUCCCUCAAGCCGUGGUCUUACACCUUUAUCCACACACCCUCACGCCGGCACCCAGGAAUACAAAGCCCUCACUUGAAGACAAAACUUCCUGUACACUAAACACACACUCACUCCCGCCAGCCAACUCGGAUCCUUGUCCCCACCCGGGACCCAGGCGCCUGACUCCUCAUCUGUCCCCCAUACAAAGCCCUCCCUUGGGGUCUGAUUCAGGCUUGGGAUGGGGGAGUGUGAGUCACCCAGAAAACCUUCCCAUAUUCCCACUGACUCAGCCCCCGCCUCCCUGAACACACACAGACACACAGUCAGAGGCAGACACAACUCCUCAGCCCACACACUGUUCACCACCGGUCCCGCGGAAUUUCCCGUCUCAUCUCCCCCCGCCACAAUGGCCCCUCCCCGCGCCGGCAGCCCAGACGCCGCGCUCACACCUGUUCCCCGGCCGGCUCGCGGUCCACUCUCACCUCCACUCUCGCUUUGGAGUAAGAAUAGCCCUCUCUGACUCCCAGUGUCC